This 484-nucleotide ribosomal RNA is filed under the name uncultured bacterium. RNAcentral's name for it is "partial 16S ribosomal RNA". It matches the Rfam family "Bacterial small subunit ribosomal RNA", at positions 29 to 507 of the family's 1533-position model. The record is from RNAcentral.
AUUGAACGCUGGCGGCAUGCUUUACACAUGCAAGUCGAACGGCAGCGCGGGCUUCGGCCUGGCGGCGAGUGGCGAACGGGUGAGUAAUGCAUCGGAACGUGCCCAGUAGUGGGGGAUAGCCCGGCGAAAGCCGGAUUAAUACCGCAUACGACCAGAGGGUGAAAGCGGGGGACCGAAAGGCCUCGCGCUAUUGGAGCGGCCGAUGUCGGAUUAGCUAGUUGGUGGGGUAAAGGCUUACCAAGGCGACGAUCCGUAGCUGGUCUGAGAGGACGACCAGCCACACUGGGACUGAGACACGGCCCAGACUCCUACGGGAGGCAGCAGUGGGGAAUUUUGGACAAUGGGGGCAACCCUGAUCCAGCCAUGCCGCGUGCGGGAAGAAGGCCUUCGGGUUGUAAACCGCUUUUGUUCGGGAAGAAAUCCUCUGGGCUAAUACCCCGGGGGGAUGACGGUACCGGAAGAAUAAGCACCGGCUAACUACGUG